GCCUCUCAUAAUGAUCAAAUAAUAACUUUCGUUCUUUCAAGUUGUCUGUGUAGAAAAUUAAUUGAGACCUAAACUGAAGAGGC
This is a small nucleolar RNA of Prosopis cineraria, 83 nucleotides long. RefSeq annotates it as small nucleolar RNA Z159/U59. The transcript has a single exon. The record is from RefSeq and is a predicted model, not a curated record. NCBI's taxonomy places the organism in Eukaryota, Viridiplantae, Streptophyta, Magnoliopsida, Fabales, Fabaceae.